RNAcentral lists this non-coding RNA (28 nucleotides) under Rattus norvegicus (Norway rat). Lineage: Eukaryota; Metazoa; Chordata; Mammalia; Rodentia; Muridae. The record is from RNAcentral.
UGGUCUUCCUAGAAGCCUGCCUGAGCCA